RNAcentral lists this long non-coding RNA (2057 nucleotides) under Equus caballus (horse). RNAcentral's name for it is "lncRNA (ENSECAG00000034913.3)". Lineage: Eukaryota; Metazoa; Chordata; Mammalia; Perissodactyla; Equidae. The record is from RNAcentral.
GUGAGCGCGGAGAGAAGCGGGAAAAGCCCGGGGAUGGGAGAACGAACGCGCCGAGAAAUCGAGGCGUCCCCGCCCGCCCGCACACCCGCUCCCCUCCCGCCGGGAGAAUCUGCGUGGCAGGCUGCAAGCUGAAAAUGCCACCCUGACAGACCCCCGCCCGCCCCGCGUCCAUUCUCCCUCCUACCCCAGCGUCCAGCGUCCCGGCCUCGUGGCAGCGCCCGGUCCCCGGGAGCCGCGCGGGGCUCCCCGCCGCCGCCGCGGGGACUCCGGUCUUCCUCUCUCCUCCCUCCCUCCUCCUCCUCGUCCUCCGCCUCCUCCUCGCAGACUCCUCCCGCCGGAUCCUUCAUGUAAACAACAGCCAGGCUCUAUUUACAGUCGCCGCCGGACGGCGAGGGACCCACGCCAGCACCCCGGCAGGAGGCGGGGGUGGGGGAAAAGCGAGUGCGCAACAUUUACACACCCGCCCCGCCCCUCCACGCCGCUGCCCCUCCGGGGGGCCGAGCGGGCCGCCGGGGGCUGCCCGCGCCUCGUGCGACCCGCGCCCCUCCGGACAGCCCGGCACGGCCCAGGGGCGAGGCCGCCCCCUCCCCGCGCGGGCGACAACGCACAGCCGACACCAGCGCCCGGCCCAGCCCCGCGCCCCAAGUCCCGUGUUCACGGUGGCUGAAGAGACAGUGUGUUUGGGAGCUCUGCCACGUUUUUCGACUCCGAAAGGUUGGUGAAGUGUCAGCUGUGAUUUCACCCCGCUCAACCUGGAAUCUCAUUAUCCGAGGCAGCGUUCUUAAUGAGACUGGUUUGUCCUGGAGCCUAUGAACUGGGUGAGGAGGCUGGCAGUCGAGCAGGCUGAAGAGGCUGCUGAAAAGAUGUCAGCAUCUGGACAAGAAGUGCACAUUUGCAACUUUAAAAGGCUGGAGAGUAACUGAUGCAUGCAAUUAUAUUUAUGGCUCGGAGGAGGGUCUGGGUUGUCACAGAUGAGCUCAUACACAUCCGGAAUGUUGAACUUCCCUUGCAUAGCUCAACACAAAAUGCCCAUGUUCCUUUGGAUUGGGCAGUCGAAGCUGGGAUUACUGACAGUAACAUCUACAGCCCAUGUUUUGUCCUAGGCAAUAACAGUGUGGUAGUAAUUUUAAGUGUAACCAUAUCACCUUCCAGCAAGGUGGAGACGAAGUCUACUUAUAUGUAAAGUCAUGUGCUCCCUUAAGUAAAAAGCUGAGCAGAGAAAAAAGGAACAGCACUCAAACCACCCCCCCGCCCCCAAGGAAUUGCCUCCAUAGCUCUUGUCUUCUACACAUGUGCACUCAGACGUCAUUACAGAGAAGAUCAAACUUGAGUGGUCUGGGGUGCUCCAUCGCUGUUGAUUAAAGAGAGUUCUUCUGGGCACUCCAGCAAUCUUCCAUCUCUCCCGUACACAUUUGAAAAAUGGCAGUUCCUGGUGUGUGAGAGCAUAGCCUUUGGAAUUAGGUCCUAAUCUCAGCUCUGCCAGACUAUUAGCUGUAUCAUCCUGGACAGGUUACUCAUCAGCUCUGAUUCUCAGUUACUUUACUCAUAAAAGGAGCAUAAGAACACCUAGCUCAAAGAGGAGUUUUUAGGAUUGAAAUUUAAUCAAAAUUUAAUAAAAUAUAUGUAAAGCCCCUAGCACGAUACUGGGAGCUUAAUCUUCAAAAACAAGCAGCUGUAACAAUUUUUUAAUUGUAUUUUUGUUUACCCCAUACACUUCAUAGAAUUAUUCUUUUCCUUUUGGCUUCCUGCUCUUGAAAAUUCAACGAACCUACUAUUAGUGAAAGUUCUGUGAUUACGAAGAUAAGCGAGAAUAGGUCCUGCCCUCAGGAAGUUCACCCUUCAGCCUUGGAGAAAUACCUAUAGAAGCAACUGUGCUGAUGCUGGCGGGCUGAAGGCAAGCGCCUGGGCCCUCACACUUUGUGAUGACCUGCCCUAGAAGUAUUUAACUAAGAUGUAGAUUUAUUAAUACUCAGGCAAUGGCAAAGCUUAUGGAAGCAGUUAGGAAAAUGGCCUCCCCUGAGCAAGCAAACAAAAUCUCACAUUUUCACAAAAAUGAG